GUCGAACGCUUCUUUUUCCCCGGAGCUUGCUCCACCGGAAAAAGAGGAGUGGCGAACGGGUGAGUAACACGUGGGUAACCUGCCCAUCAGAAGGGGAUAACACUUGGAAACAGGUGCUAAUACCGUAUAACAAUCAAAACCGCAUGGUUUUGAUUUGAAAGGCGCUUUCGGGUGUCGCUGAUGGAUGGACCCGCGGUGCAUUAGCUAGUUGGUGAGGUAACGGCUCACCAAGGCCACGAUGCAUAGCCGACCUGAGAGGGUGAUCGGCCACAUUGGGACUGAGACACGGCCCAAACUCCUACGGGAGGCAGCAGUAGGGAAUCUUCGGCAAUGGACGAAAGUCUGACCGAGCAACGCCGCGUGAGUGAAGAAGGUUUUCGGAUCGUAAAACUCUGUUGUUAGAGAAGAACAAGGAUGAGAGUAACUGUUCAUCCCUUGACGGUAUCUAACCAGAAAGCCACGGCUAACUACGUGCCAGCAGCCGCGGUAAUACGUAGGUGGCAAGCGUUGUCCGGAUUUAUUGGGCGUAAAGCGAGCGCAGGCGGUUUCUUAAGUCUGAUGUGAAAGCCCCCGGCUCAACCGGGGAGGGUCAUUGGAAACUGGGAGACUUGAGUGCAGAAGAGGAGAGUGGAAUUCCAUGUGUAGCGGUGAAAUGCGUAGAUAUAUGGAGGAACACCAGUGGCGAAGGCGGCUCUCUGGUCUGUAACUGACGCUGAGGCUCGAAAGCGUGGGGAGCAAACAGGAUUAGAUACCCUGGUAGUCCACGCCGUAAACGAUGAGUGCUAAGUGUUGGAGGGUUUCCGCCCUUCAGUGCUGCAGCUAACGCAUUAAGCACUCCGCCUGGGGAGUACGACCGCAAGGUUGAAACUCAAAGGAAUUGACGGGGGCCCGCACAAGCGGUGGAGCAUGUGGUUUAAUUCGAAGCAACGCGAAGAACCUUACCAGGUCUUGACAUCCUUUGACCACUCUAGAGAUAGAGCUUCCCCUUCGGGGGCAAAGUGACAGGUGGUGCAUGGUUGUCGUCAGCUCGUGUCGUGAGAUGUUGGGUUAAGUCCCGCAACGAGCGCAACCCUUAUUGUUAGUUGCCU
RNAcentral lists this ribosomal RNA (1088 nucleotides) under Enterococcus faecium. RNAcentral describes it as "bacterial SSU rRNA". It matches the Rfam family "Bacterial small subunit ribosomal RNA", at positions 61 to 1120 of the family's 1533-position model. The record is from RNAcentral. Lineage: Bacteria; Bacillati; Bacillota; Bacilli; Lactobacillales; Enterococcaceae.